Molecule: ribosomal RNA, 1372 nt
Filed under: uncultured bacterium
Lineage: Bacteria
Description: bacterial SSU rRNA
Rfam family: Bacterial small subunit ribosomal RNA
Source: RNAcentral
GAUGAACGCUGGCGGCGUGCCUAAUACAUGCAAGUCGAGCGAACGGACGAGAAGCUUGCUUCUCUGAUGUUAGCGGCGGACGGGUGAGUAACACGUGGAUAACCUACCUAUAAGACUGGGAUAACUUCGGGAAACCGGAGCUAAUACCGGAUAAUAUUUUGAACCGCAUGGUUCAAAAGUGAAAGACGGUCUUGCUGUCACUUAUAGAUGGAUCCGCGCUGCAUUAGCUAGUUGGUAAGGUAACGGCUUACCAAGGCAACGAUGCAUAGCCGACCUGAGAGGGUGAUCGGCCACACUGGAACUGAGACACGGUCCAGACUCCUACGGGAGGCAGCAGUAGGGAAUCUUCCGCAAUGGGCGAAAGCCUGACGGAGCAACGCCGCGUGAGUGAUGAAGGUCUUCGGAUCGUAAAACUCUGUUAUUAGGGAAGAACAUAUGUGUAAGUAACUGUGCACAUCUUGACGGUACCUAAUCAGAAAGCCACGGCUAACUACGUGCCAGCAGCCGCGGUAAUACGUAGGUGGCAAGCGUUAUCCGGAAUUAUUGGGCGUAAAGCGCGCGUAGGCGGUUUUUUAAGUCUGAUGUGAAAGCCCACGGCUCAACCGUGGAGGGUCAUUGGAAACUGGAAAACUUGAGUGCAGAAGAGGAAAGUGGAAUUCCAUGUGUAGCGGUGAAAUGCGCAGAGAUAUGGAGGAACACCAGUGGCGAAGGCGACUUUCUGGUCUGUAACUGACGCUGAUGUGCGAAAGCGUGGGGAUCAAACAGGAUUAGAUACCCUGGUAGUCCACGCCGUAAACGAUGAGUGCUAAGUGUUAGGGGGUUUCCGCCCCUUAGUGCUGCAGCUAACGCAUUAAGCACUCCGCCUGGGGAGUACGACCGCAAGGUUGAAACUCAAAGGAAUUGACGGGGACCCGCACAAGCGGUGGAGCAUGUGGUUUAAUUCGAAGCAACGCGAAGAACCUUACCAAAUCUUGACAUCCUUUGACAACUCUAUAGAUAGAGUUUUCCCCUUCGGGGGACAAAGUGACAGGUGGUGCAUGGUUGUCGUCAGCUCGUGUCGUGAGAUGUUGGGUUAAGUCCCGCAACGAGCGCAACCCUUAAGCUUAGUUGCCAUCAUUAAGUUGGGCACUCUAAGUUGACUGCCGGUGACAAACCGGAGGAAGGUGGGGAUGACGUCAAAUCAUCAUGCCCCUUAUGAUUUGGGCUACACACGUGCUACAAUGGACAAUACAAAGGGCAGCGAAACCGCGAGGUCAAGCAAAUCCCAUAAAGUUGUUCUCAGUUCGGAUUGUAGUCUGCAACUCGACUACAUGAAGCUGGAAUCGCUAGUAAUCGUAGAUCAGCAUGCUACGGUGAAUACGUUCCCGGGUCU